Equus asinus (donkey) is the source of this 1488-nucleotide long non-coding RNA. NCBI's taxonomy places the organism in Eukaryota, Metazoa, Chordata, Mammalia, Perissodactyla, Equidae. The record is from Ensembl.
AAAAAAAAGAGGAAGAUUGGCAACAGCUGUUAGCUCAGGGUGACUCUUUCCCAGCCAAAUAAACAAACAAACAAAAAAGACAUCAGGGAGAAGUCACACAGGUGGGAAGCGAGGUCUCUUCUGUGUCAAAAGUUCUUUGGAGAGUAGUUAAACUUUUGUUACAGGCCAUAUCAUUUAGAGUGAUAUUAUUCUAUGUAAAUAGAUGUUUUACUCUGGUUGAAAGUAGGGUGAAGAAAGAAGGAGUAAAUUUAAACCAUGUUAUUUUGACAGCAGAGCUGGAGCCUUGGUGGUGAAAAGAGUGACAAGGUAGGACAGUCCCAGGGUUGUCUGAAUAGUGUGAAAAUGUGGACAUACAAAUUUGUUGUCAAGAGGAGCCAAACCAUGGUCAGGAAGAUGGGACCGCGCCUCCAGGCUGAAGUAUAAGGAGAAAGACAAAUGGAGAAAGAGCAGCUCGGUCAGCAUCUGAAGGCUGGCAGGACGGACACUGACAGGUGCAGGAGAGUAGAGCGCGUGAAGGCAAGUGUGUGAGAGCUCACGGCCUGGUACAGAGGAGGCACUGUAAGCGGUUCUUGAAUGGACACAGACAUCAAGGUUGGAAGAAACUGCAGAGUUGUAAACCAUUUCCUCUCUUCAAGAUCCUGUGCCAUAAAAUAAUUAGAAUGAUCCUUUAAAAAUAUGGCACUCUGGGGUGGUUGGAGGUGGCAGGGCUCAAAAAAAGUCACUCCUCUGAUUGAAAUCCUUUGAUGGUUUCCCGUCUCAUCUAGAUAUCCACAUGACUUCCUUCUUCUUUUAGGUCUGUGUUCAAAAAAGGCCUUCCACAACACACAAAAUAUCCUCAUCCCUUUCUGUCCCGCUUUUUCUUUACAGCAUUCAUCCCCGCAUGACCUGUAUCUUUCUUUAUUUAUGGUCUGCCUCUCCCUACUAUAUUGUAAGCUCCUUGAAAGCAGGAACUUUGUUUUGUUCACUGUGGUAGCCCCAGCAUCUAAAACAACGCCUGACAUGUGGAAGGUGCUCAAAAAUACUUGUUGAGGGGCUGGCCUGGUGGCACAGUGAUUAAGUGCGCACCUUCUGCUUCGGCGGCCCGGGGUUCGCUGGUUCAGAUCCUGGGUGUGGAUAUGGCACCACUUGGCACGCCAUGCUGUGGUAGGCGUCCCACAUAUAAAAUAGAGAAAGAUGGGCACAGAUGUUAGCUCAGGGCCAGUCUUCCUCAGCGAAAAGAAGAGGAUUGGCAGCAGUUAGCUCAGGGCUAAUCUUCCUCAAAAAAAAAAAAAAAUGUUGAAUGAAUGAAUAAAUGUGCCGGCCAGAGGAGACCUAGAGCAUCUCUGAUUUUUAUCUGGCUACAGGCCAAGGUGCUGGAGAAUGUGGGAUACAGGUGUCCAUGUGGGCUCCUACAGCCAUGUUCCUCCUACCAGACCAGUGGGAAGAGCUGAGCUUGACAAUGCCAAGAUCCCAGGCCCUCCUGUUCUGGGAGUUACUAUUAACUAUCUG